RNAcentral lists this long non-coding RNA (411 nucleotides) under Mytilus galloprovincialis (Mediterranean mussel). Lineage: Eukaryota; Metazoa; Mollusca; Bivalvia; Mytilida; Mytilidae. The record is from RNAcentral.
GGUAUAUCAGAUUGUUUACUCUGAUUAAAAGGAAACAGAUAACAGUUAUAUUAAUUGUCAUACAUACAAGUUUAUUUGUAACAUGUCCUGGCUUAAUACGCUAGGACCUAUUGUCAAAUAUAUUCAUUGGUUUCCAGGAACAACAACAUCAUUAGAUGAUUUGACAAUUACAUACAUGAAACUUUCACACCAUAUACUUCACCAGUCUACGCUUUUAACAAUUUUAACAAAAUUGGUAAAAAAAAAUAAGCUGACACUCAAAUAAAAAAAUAUGAACACAAUAUCAUAAAAGAAGCAAGGUUUUAUAAUGAAAUAUCAUAUAGUUAUUUCGUUUGGAUAUGUAAAAAAUUCAAAUUGCAUUGUAUCUAUAAGUAUCAUUCUACUACUUUUACUUGUUGUUAUAUAAAUUUC